ACAAGAUGGCCGCUGCACAAGAUGGCCGCCAGUCCAGCGCCGCAGCACAAGAUGGCAGCCUCAGUCGACUUUCCAGAGUCAAGUCAGGUCCCCACUAACACCCAAGAGUCAAGUGAAACAACAGUUACACUUCUUGAUUCUAGUCAGGUCACCGUUGAUCAGGUCCCUGUUUAUUUCCCAGAAUCUAGUCAGGUCACCAUUGAUCAAGUUCCAGUGGACCCUCCAGAGUCGAGUCAGGUUACAGUGGACCCUCCAGAGUCGAGUCAGGUUCCAGUGGACCCUCCAGAUUCGAGUCAGGUUCCAGUGGACCCUCCAGAGUCGAGUCAGGUUCCAGUGAACUCUCCAGAGUCGAGUCAGGUUCCAGUGAACUCUCCAGAGUCGAGUCAGGUUCCUGUUGACCCCCCAGAGUCGAGUCAGGUUCCUGUUGACCCCCCAGAGUCGAGUCAGGUUCCAGUGAAUUCUCCAGAGUCGAGUCAGGUGUUCAUGGACCCUUCAGAGUCAGGGCUAGUCACCGAUGACCCUCCAGAGUCAGGGCUAGUCACCGAUGACCUUUCAGAGACAAGUCAAGUCACCGGUGAUCUUCAAGGACAGAGUCAAGUCACCGGUGAUCUUCAAGGACAGAGUCACGUCACCGGUGAUCCUCAAGGACAGAGUCACGUCACCGGUGAUCCUCAAGGACAGAGUCAAGUCACUGGUGAUUUUCAAGGACAGAGUCACGUCACCGGUGAUCUUCAAGGACAGAGUCAAGUCACCGGUGAUCUUCAAGAACCAAGUCAAAUCACAGUUGAUCUUCAUGAACCAAGUCAAGUCACAGUCGAUCUUCAGGAACCAAGUCAAGUCACAGUCGAUCUUCAUGAAUCCAGUCAAAUCACCACGGAUCUACCAGAGCCUCGUCACAUCUCAGCCGAACUUCCAGAGCUCUCGUCCUAUUCUGUCACGGCCAUGGAGGCCGUCUAUGAGCUCUCAUUCGUUCCGGUCAUGGCUAAGGCGGUCCUCCAUGAACUCACCGCCUGCCCUGUCACGGCCAUGGAGGCCAGCUACCAUCUCAUCACGGCCAUGGAGGCCGCUAUUAACCUGUUUAUGUUCCCUGUUUCAGUCCCACCUGACCAGACUUGCUUUCCUGUGCCAUCAACUCCACUGUGGUGGUCCUCUGCUCCACCCUGGUGGGCCUCUGUCAUGUCUGCUCAACUAUGGUGGUCGUCUGGUCCGCCCUGGUGGGCUUCUGUCCCAUCAUCUCGGCUGUGGUGGUCUUCUGCUCUGCCCUGGUGGGCUUCUGUCC
This 1279-nucleotide long non-coding RNA is filed under the name Carassius auratus (goldfish). Its description in RNAcentral is "lncRNA (ENSCARG00000066607.1)". The record is from RNAcentral. Lineage: Eukaryota; Metazoa; Chordata; Actinopteri; Cypriniformes; Cyprinidae.